GAUGAACGCUGGCUACAGGCUUAACACAUGCAAGUCGAGGGGAAACGACGGGGAAGCUUGCUUCCCCGGGCGUCGACCGGCGCACGGGUGAGUUACGCGUAUCCAACCUGCCUCUGACUGAGGGAUAACCCGUCGAAAGUCGGCCUAAUACCUCAUGGUAUCGUCUGCGGGCAUCCAACGACGAUUAAAGAUUUCAUCGGUCAGGGAUGGGGAUGCGUCUGAUUAGCUUGUUGGCGGGGUAACGGCCCACCAAGGCUACGAUCAGUAGGGGUUCUGAGAGGAAGGUCCCCCACAUUGGAACUGAGACACGGUCCAAACUCCUACGGGAGGCAGCAGUGAGGAAUAUUGGUCAAUGGGCGAGAGCCUGAACCAGCCAAGUAGCGUGCAGGAAGACGGCCCUAUGGGUUGUAAACUGCUUUUAUGCGGGGAUAAAGUGAGGGACGUGUCCCUCAUUGCAGGUACCGCAUGAAUAAGGACCGGCUAAUUCCGUG
This 491-nucleotide ribosomal RNA is filed under the name uncultured bacterium. RNAcentral describes it as "partial 16S ribosomal RNA". It matches the Rfam family "Bacterial small subunit ribosomal RNA", at positions 28 to 507 of the family's 1533-position model. The record is from RNAcentral.